AUUGAACGCUGGCGGCAUGCCUUACACAUGCAAGUCGAACGGCAGCGGGGGAGAAGCUUGCUUUUCCUGCCGGCGAGUGGCGAACGGGUGAGUAAUACAUCGGAACGUGCCCUGUAGUGGGGGAUAACUAGUCGAAAGAUUAGCUAAUACCGCAUACGACCUGAGGGUGAAAGUGGGGACCGCAAGGCCUCAUGCUAUAGGAGCGGCCGAUGUCUGAUUAGCUAGUUGGUGGGGUAAAGGCCUACCAAGGCGACGAUCAGUAGCUGGUCUGAGAGGACGAUCAGCCACACUGGGACUGAGACACGGCCCAGACUCCUACGGGAGGCAGCAGUGGGGAAUUUUGGACAAUGGGCGAAAGCCUGAUUCAGCAACGCCGCGUGUGUGAAGAAGGCCUUCGGGUUGUAAAGCACUUUUGUCCGGAAAGAAAUGGCUCUGGUUAAUACCUGGGGUCGAUGACGGUACCGGAAGAAUAAGGACCGGCUAACUACGUGCCAGCCGCCGCGGUAA
RNAcentral lists this ribosomal RNA (507 nucleotides) under uncultured bacterium. RNAcentral's name for it is "partial 16S ribosomal RNA". It matches the Rfam family "Bacterial small subunit ribosomal RNA", at positions 30 to 523 of the family's 1533-position model. The record is from RNAcentral.